CCUCUUUAAAUACUGUUUUGUUGGCAAAGUGCAUGCCAAUAUCAAAGGCUGGAUUUUUUAGCGUAGUUUCUCUCCUCCAUUGUCUGAAGUUUGGAACAUUUAUUUUCCUCCUAUUGCUGGUGACUUCACCAUUCUCAUCACACUCGUCAUCACUGUCUUGUUUGCUAUGAAGAUCUUCUGAAUUCUGGACAUCAUCUGAAAUCUCCCCUGCAUAACCCAUUUCUUCAGGCUCUUCUUCAAUUGGAUUGUCAAUGCACUCCUCAAACAUUGUAUCAUCAAUCUCCACCUCUUCUGCAUCUGUAUCUUGCUCAUAGUCACUAUCUAUGAACUCUGUAUCAUCUUCUUCGUCACUCUCUUCAUUUUCACUAGCAUUCCCAGCUCUUUCCCUUU
RNAcentral lists this long non-coding RNA (390 nucleotides) under Prunus persica (peach). Its description in RNAcentral is "long non-coding RNA (PPER_LNC004466)". The record is from RNAcentral. Lineage: Eukaryota; Viridiplantae; Streptophyta; Magnoliopsida; Rosales; Rosaceae.